GCUAAACUAGUGAAGGAAAGACAAGAGAGGGUCCUCAAGCAACCUAUCAAAGAGACUAGUUCCAUUGGACUACAAUUCAAUUACUUAGAGGAGCAAUUACAGACAAAAAAUUCAAAACAAGACACUCCAUUUUCAAGAUUCUUAAUUCUAAUUUAUUUACUAUUCAUUUCUUUUGUGCUAUCUACGAAUUACAACUCAAAGCAAUUUAUUGCUCCAUUGCCAGGUGUGGAGAUUAUUGCUUCUACCAAUCUAUUAGUAGCUGGUGGUAGUCACACUCAGUUACACUGGGAGGAAUAUGGUCUUAUACUUGAUGUUCCACCUAAUGCUCUUCC
Molecule: long non-coding RNA, 332 nt
Organism: Amphimedon queenslandica
Lineage: Eukaryota; Metazoa; Porifera; Demospongiae; Haplosclerida; Niphatidae
Exons: 3
Source: RefSeq, a predicted model, not a curated record